This 86-nucleotide transfer RNA is filed under the name Naegleria gruberi. Its description in RNAcentral is "Selenocysteine transfer RNA". It matches the Rfam family "Selenocysteine transfer RNA". The record is from Rfam by way of RNAcentral. Lineage: Eukaryota; Heterolobosea; Eutetramitea; Acrasida; Naegleriidae.
GCGGGGAUGAGUUUGGCUGGUGCUGAAUGCAGCCUUCAAAGCUGUAGCUACUGUUCGGUAGAGAGGAUCGAUUCCUCCUUUCCCGC